UUUAAGGUCUAACCUGCCCAAUGAGGAUUUAAAUGGCCGCAGUAUUUUGACUGUGCAAAGGUAGCAUAAUUAUUAGUUUUUUAAUUGAAAGCUUGUAUGAAGGGUUGGACGAGAUAAAAUCUGUCUCUAUUUAGAUUAGAAUAGAAUUUAACUUUUAAGUCAAAAGGCUUAAAUAUUUAUAAAAGACGAGAAGACCCUAUAGAUCUUCAUUUAAAUUAGAAUUUAAUAAUUUAGGAUUAUUUUAGUUUAAAUUUUAAUUUAAAUUUUAUUGGGGUAAUAUAAAGAUUAAAUUAAUUCUUUUUAUUUAUAACAUUAAUUUAUGAAUUUAUGAUCCAUUAUUAUUGAUUAAAAGAUUAAGUUACCUUAGGGAUAACAGCGUAAUUUUUUUGGAGAGCUCAUAUCGAUAAAAAAGUUUGCGACCUCGAUGUUGGAUUAAAAAUUAGCUUGGGUGCAGAAGCUCAAGAUUUUGGUCUGUUCGACCAUUAAAUUUUU
RNAcentral lists this ribosomal RNA (492 nucleotides) under Myriochila fastidiosa. RNAcentral's name for it is "partial 16S ribosomal RNA". It matches the Rfam family "Bacterial large subunit ribosomal RNA", at positions 1844 to 2597 of the family's 2925-position model. Lineage: Eukaryota; Metazoa; Arthropoda; Insecta; Coleoptera; Carabidae. The record is from RNAcentral.